This 85-nucleotide transfer RNA is filed under the name Veillonella sp. Its description in RNAcentral is "tRNA-Tyr". It matches the Rfam family "tRNA". Rfam says of the family: Transfer RNA (tRNA) molecules are approximately 80 nucleotides in length. Their secondary structure includes four short double-helical elements and three loops (D, anti-codon, and T loops). The record is from RNAcentral. Lineage: Bacteria; Bacillati; Bacillota; Negativicutes; Veillonellales; Veillonellaceae. RNAcentral also lists the same sequence under 1 other name.
GGAGGGAUUCCCGAGUGGCCAAAGGGAGCAGACUGUAAAUCUGCCGUCUUCGACUUCGAAGGUUCGAAUCCUUCUCCCUCCACCA